This 253-nucleotide ribosomal RNA is filed under the name uncultured bacterium. RNAcentral's name for it is "partial 16S ribosomal RNA". It matches the Rfam family "Bacterial small subunit ribosomal RNA", at positions 524 to 776 of the family's 1533-position model. The record is from RNAcentral.
UACGAAGGUGGCAAGCGUUGUUCGGAUUUACUGGGCGUACAGGGAGCGUAGGCGGUUGGAUAAGCCCUCCGUGAAAUCUCCAGGCUUAACCUGGAAAGUGCAGAGGGGACUGUUCAGCUAGAGGAUGGGAGAGGAGCGCGGAAUUCCCGGUGUAGCGGUGAAAUGCGUAGAGAUCGGGAGGAAGGCCGGUGGCGAAGGCGGCGCUCUGGACCGGUACUGACGCUGAGGCGCGAAAGCGUGGGUAGCAAACAGG